CGCCUAACACAUGCAAGUCGAACGAAGUAGCAAUACUUAGUGGCAGACGGGUGAGUAACAUGUAGGUAUCUACCCUUUGGCCUGGAAUAACACGAGGAAACUUGUGCUAAUACCGGAUAAGUCUUUACGGAGAAAGCUUUAUGCACCAUUGGAUGAGCCUGCACUUGAUUAGUUUGUUGGUGGGGUAAUGGCCUACCAAGACUGUGAUCAAUAGCUGAUUUGAGAGGAUGAUCAGCCACAUUGGGACUGAGACACGGCCCAAACUCCUACGGGAGGCAGCAGUGGGGAAUCUUGCACAAUGGAGGAAACUCUGAUGCAGCGAUGCCGCGUGAGUGAAGAAGGCCUUUGGGUUGUAAAGCUCUUUCGUCGGGGAAGAAAAUGACUGUACCCGAAUAAGAAGGUCCGGCUAACUUCGUGCCAGCAGCCGCGGUAAUACGAAGGGACCUAGCGUAGUUCGGAAUUACUGGGCUUAAAGAGUUCGUAGGUGGUUGAAAAAGUUAGUGGUGAAAUCCCAGAGCUUAACUCUGGAACUGCCAUUAAAACUUUUCAGCUAGAGUAUGAUAGAGGAAAGCAGAAUUUCUAGUGUAGAGGUGAAAUUCGUAGAUAUUAGAAAGAAUACCAAUUGCGAAGGCAGCUUUCUGGAUCAUUACUGACACUGAGGAACGAAAGCAUGGGUAGCGAAGAGGAUUAGAUACCCUCGUAGUCCAUGCCGUAAACGAUGUGUGUUAGACGUUGGAAAUUUAUUUUCAGUGUCGCAGCGAAAGCGAUAAACACACCGCCUGGGG
RNAcentral lists this ribosomal RNA (785 nucleotides) under uncultured Pelagibacteraceae bacterium. RNAcentral describes it as "bacterial SSU rRNA". It matches the Rfam family "Bacterial small subunit ribosomal RNA", at positions 45 to 878 of the family's 1533-position model. Lineage: Bacteria; Pseudomonadati; Pseudomonadota; Alphaproteobacteria; Candidatus Pelagibacterales; Candidatus Pelagibacteraceae. The record is from RNAcentral.